GCUGCGGGGGCGGACUGAGAGGUGCGGCUCCCUUCGGGGGUGUUUUCCUGCCGGUGAGCGGGGAUGCAGCAGGCUCGAGCGGAGGGCGCGGGUGCCACGCGUUCUGUCUCUUUUCCGUCAGGGGUUCCCUCUCGGGCCCGCUGUCCCACCGGGGCCGGCCCUCCCCGGCACAGCCCCCGGUGAGCGCCCACACGCCUCGGCUGCCUGCCUUGGCCGUCGCGCUGCGACUGGGAACGGCCUUCGUGCCUCCGGAGCCGGUCUUUUACACGUUGAAAAACGAGACAUGCAGAACUAAAACUGUUCUUUUUUUACCGCCUUACCCGCCGGAAGCCUCAGCGAGGCCUGACACCUCCUUGCAUCGUGUUUACGGCUGAAAACGGAGAAACCUUCCCAAGUCGGAAGAGCCUGAAAUGCCAAGGGUGCACCUGCCUCCUCCUGCCCGCUCCUCUGCCCCUUUGCAGCGCUCCCCCCCGCUCUCCUCCCGCUGCUGGUCCUGCCUUGCUGCCGGGAAAGCAGGUGAGGGGGAGCUUUGGGCUGAACCCAGGCCCGUCUGCAAGUGCAAAGCCUGGCAGGAUCUCAGAGGGAGCUGGUGCGAUCCGUGCUGCCACACACUUGGAGACUGUCAAGCCUGUAAUGGGCAUUUAAUUAUUAAUUUUAAGUUAGCUUUCUCUAACCAACCCUGUAGAAUGGCAAGGUAUAUGCUACUGCUGUAGUGAUUAUAGGAAAAGUCUAGUUUAUCCUUUUAGAUUCAAUUUAUCAUAAUGUGGGACUGGCUGGUUCAGGAUGGGAUGAGAUUUUUUUUCUUUUCCCCUGAGGGAUACAUUCUUUCCUGGACACAAAGCUUGGACAUAGACAUAGAAUGACAGCUGUAUCCUCCCAAUUCUUUUUCCUGCCUACCCAAACUCCAGUACUCUACUGGACUGCCAACCCUACAUCAGCAUGCUUUGCUCUGGGCACGACACAAGGAUAUUUGCACCAGCAUACUGCACAGCAAUGUACAAAAAGUAUCAACUCUGAAUUUUGAUGACAAGAUUUGAAAAAAGAAGGAAUGGAGUUUUCUGUCUGUAUCAAAUACAGCUUUACUAGAAAAUGGAAAAUUGUUCCUCUGCCCUUUUUUCUUGCUGUCUCCAAGCUGAUUCUGAAAAGCCAGUAUAGGCUGGAGUAGCAGCGAAAUCUUUCCAUUUGUAAAACUUGCUGGCAUGAAACUUCUCCCUGCCCCCAUCUUGGUCCUAGAUAUAUCCCUGAGCACUGCUCGUCUGUGCAGAUGGCAAAACCUCCUGUUGAUUCCCUGAUGCUCGCCUCUUCAAUAGAUGGAUGGGCUCAGUUUAUUCCAAAGUGAAUAUAAAGCCUUGGGGUUUCCUGAGGAAAGUUACAGUUUUCAUUUUGUAGGUGGUUUUGGUGACACAGAGACAAUCCCAUCCCACAGGAUUCUUGUGUAAGACACACAGGUUCCUCGUUCAGUUCAGCUGAAAGUUUUCUACUGACUGCUCUGCAAAAGCUAUGCAAAAUUUUCGAAGACUGUGUCAAGCUAGAUCAGCCUGGCUUGGUGAAUGCCCUUAGAGCAAAGCACAGACAAAAAUCAGAAGGUGUGGAAUGAAUCCAACCCCAGGCUCCUCUUCCAGGCUUGUUUCCUGGUUCAGAUGGGUAGCCAUUGGAGAAAUGGCCACUGGAGAAGCUCCCAAAGUAGAAAUGCCUGAUUUAGUUUUAGUGACAACACUCCAGGAGUAGCUGAACAUUUGGGCUCAGCUGUUGAUGCAGCUAGAGCUGGGGACCCUGGGCACCACAUUAAUAACAAGGUUUCUAUUAACUCUUUUUAAAAAUAUAGAUACCUGUUUGCAAGAUCAUCACAUAAGGAAAUCUCACAGAUGCAAAUAGACAGACUCCAUGAAGGGUAAAAUCUCGGCCCCAUGGAAGCAAUGCCCAAGUCUUGUAAUGAGCCUGGAUACUACAGGUGCUGUAGUGCCCUACUCAGGACCACUUCAUAUCAACAAUACAAACAAGGCAUCUUUUCCUGUGCUUACCCAUUAACUCUAAGGCAGGAAUUUUUCCUAAUUAAAUCAGUUUUAACAUCUCUUUGUUCUUUGAUCAGGUCAUCUGAAUUACUCUGUGCCUGCAUCUAUGCUAACCAUAGCCAUUUGAAACCUCAGCCUAAGUUCCUUCAAAAUUUAGCCACAAGUGAGGCAGGAAUUUGCAAAAAGACUCAGUGACACAGAGUCUUAAUUCAUCUGGGAGUUGAGUCCUCCAUGAGUGCUGCAGCAGCAGAGCCAUCCAUUCCCUUGCUGAAUUCAGUGUGACAGGCUGCUACUGAUAGCUGAUACCUAAACAGCACUCUCCUUGCAGAGCUCCCAAACCUCUUCACAAAAAUGGCUGAAUAGCCUUCUUCCCAACUUGCCAGUGGGAAAUGGAAAACACAAACAAAUCCCUAUGAAGCCAUAUUACCCACUGCAAUGAAUUUCUGAAUCAAGAGAAGGACCAGAGCCUCUGCAGAGAUAAAUGUUAACAAGUGUGAAGCCCUUGCCUACCAAAAUUAUGAGGUCCACGUAAGAGCAAUAAAUAGAGCAGAAGACAUGGUGUUGUGUGAGGAUGCUACUCAGCCUGCAUUGCUGUGGACACAUGCAGACACCUGCUGCUCACUGAUUCUGACAUACAGUGUGGUUGCCACCUUCUCCAAUACCAGGAUUAUAGCCUCAAGUCACAAGAAACUUCACAUCUUCCCCAGAACAUCUGGUGCCUGCCAUCAGCUAUCAAAAGGUUUCACCCCCAAGCCCCUCUUUCAGCUAUGCUCUGGUUUUGCAGGGGCAGGUGUGGAGGUUGCAGACAGGACCUCCAAGCCUGCUGUACCUUUGGAUCUCUCAUGCAUCUACUGAGAAACACUUGUGCAACUAACUACUUGUUUUACAUUAUUUGUUCAGAAUACCUGGAUUUAUGGUUGUCGUGGGAACUAUAACAGGAUUUCCUGACUUCAGUGCAGACAAAAAUCUCUGCACAGAGUAACAUGGUCCAGGUGAGAAUGGGGCAGGGCUGUGGAGCUGGUGCUAGCAUUGGGCAUAGUCAGGAGGUUGGUGCUGUGUGCCUGCUGAAGCCAGAAUUUGACUUAGAUGAUUUUUCAAAAAGAGAUACACGUGAUAUUUUGCUCAGCAAGCAUGCCUUCCAGCCAUGCAGUCCUCUGUUCUCAAGUGUUGCUUCCUGCCUCACUUCUGCAGGAACACUUGUCUCAGAGGCUCAUCCUCACCAGGAAGGUGGAUUACAGCAAGAUCUUUUGCUUUUGACAGCAACCAAAGAUGGAAGAACGACCACUGGGCAAAAACAUCCAGCUACAUUUUCCUGGAAAUGUCUAUUCCUGGAAAAUGCAAUGUGUUGAAUAACAGUGCAGCUCUAUACUGAAAUAUGAAGGACCUGGCCUAAAGAUCCAUCUGAAAAAUGCCUGUUAGCUAGUGCAGGCUGGGUUGCUUCAGGUAAAAAUCAGAAACAGCAAAAUUCUUACUCUUCAGAAAGACAUUUUCUGAGCCCCAGGGAUAGAACAUUUCUGACUAGAGUAGUUCAGGAGUUAGGGGCUCAGGUGAAGUCAGGGUCAGGGAAAGCACCCUGUCUGCACAGCUCUGGAGGUGCUGCUCGUGCCGUGGGGAGUGAUGACUAUUGACCAUCUGCAUGCUGCACUUCCCUGUGCUAAUGGAGACAGGACAUCAUUGGGGUGAAUACUGCUCCUGCACUGUUAUACACAUGUGCAAGGUACAUAUGAUGCUGCUGUGGUUUUCACUUACUGUGCAUUAGAAUGUCUGAGGAUGUCUAUACUGGAGGAUAUACCAGUAUUUUGCUUGCCAGAGGGAGAAACAGAACAGCUCACUCAAGGAUGCACAGAGGUAGGAAACAGCAGAGAGUUCAAGGUUCUGCACUUCUCACUGAACUUCCUUCUCUGGACGGUGUUACAGCUCCACAAACACACCUCCUCAGGCUUCCCCAUCCAAGAAGUGUCUCCUAUGUGACUUGCUUGCAUCAGAAUUAGCAGUUUAAAAUAUUCAGAUAUGCCUCCCACUUUUUUUCUUUCUCUUUUCCGCUGAUCCUAGAAAUACAGAUAACGUCCCUCUGCAGGCAGGCUUAUCAGGCAGGAGUGUUUGGGUGAGCUGUGAAAAGCAGCACAUUCACUAGUUGUUAGAAAAAUCCCCUAAUGCUUGCAUAGCAUUGUUCCGAGGUGUGUAAAGACACACACAUAUGUUAUGGCUCAUUACGGGAAACGCACCAAAAAGAGCAGUUACACACAGACACUGCAUUUAAAGCCAUUUGCUGCAGGAUUUUCAAGGAAAAAUUGAAAGGAAAAUUUACUCACAG
Molecule: non-coding RNA, 4326 nt
Organism: Cyanistes caeruleus (blue tit)
Lineage: Eukaryota; Metazoa; Chordata; Aves; Passeriformes; Paridae
Source: RefSeq, a predicted model, not a curated record